This 253-nucleotide ribosomal RNA is filed under the name uncultured bacterium. RNAcentral describes it as "partial 16S ribosomal RNA". It matches the Rfam family "Bacterial small subunit ribosomal RNA", at positions 524 to 776 of the family's 1533-position model. The record is from RNAcentral.
UACAGAGGGUGCAAGCGUUGUUCGGAAUUAUUGGGCGUAAAGGGCGCGUAGGCGGUGCGGUAAGUCUGUAGUGAAAUCUCUGGGCUCAACUCAGAGUCUGCUGCAGAAACUGCCGUGCUUGAGUGUGGGAGAGGUGAGUGGAAUUCCCGGUGUAGUGGUGAAAUGCGUAGAGAUCCGGCGGAACACCGGUGGCGCAGGCGGCACCCUGGGCCGAGGCCGACGCUGAGGCGCGAGAGCGUGGGGAGCGAACCGG